Molecule: ribosomal RNA, 468 nt
Filed under: uncultured bacterium
Lineage: Bacteria
Description: partial 16S ribosomal RNA
Rfam family: Bacterial small subunit ribosomal RNA
Source: RNAcentral
AACGAACGCUGGCGGCAUGCUUAACACAUGCAAGUCGAACGGAAAGGCCCUGCUUUUGGGCGGUGCUCUAGUGGCGACCGGGUAAGUAACACGUAAGUAACCUGCCCUUGACUGUGGGGUAACUUCAGACCACUGAAUCUAAUACCGGCUAGGAGCUCCUGCUUCAUGGUGGGCGUUGGAAAGUUUCGGCGGUUGGGGAUGGACUCGCGUCUUAUGAGCUUGAUGGAUGGGUAGUGGAUUACCAUGGCUUUGACGGGUAGCAGGCCUGAGCGGGUGACCGGACACAUUGGGCCUGAGAUACGGCCCAGACCAGUCUGGGACGCAGCAGUGGGGAAGAUAGCACAAUGGGCUGAAGCAUGAUGUAGUACCGCCGCGUGCGGGAAGACGGCCUGCGGUUUGUAAAGUGCUUUCGUUUGUGACGAAGCGUGAGUGACGGUACUGGGUAAAGAAGCACCGGCUAACUACGUG